Molecule: ribosomal RNA, 503 nt
Filed under: Campylodiscus sp.
Lineage: Eukaryota; Bacillariophyta; Bacillariophyceae; Surirellales; Surirellaceae
Description: eukaryotic LSU rRNA
Rfam family: Eukaryotic large subunit ribosomal RNA
Source: RNAcentral
UAAUUAGGCAGAGGAAAAGAAAACAACAGUGAUUGGCCUAGUAAUGGCGAAUGAAAAGCCAAAAAUUCAUUAUGUGAAUCACCAUUUGUGGUGAAUUGUGGUACUAUUUUUCUACACUCGCAGAAUAAGUCCUGUGGAAUGAGGCAGCUUUGAAGGUGAAACUCCUGUAUUGCUGCUUUGGGUGAAAAAUGGUAAUUGAGUCGAGUUGUUUGGGAGUACAGCUCAAAGUGGGUGGUAAAUUCCAUCUAAAAUUAAAUAUGAACAAGAAACCUAUAGCAUACAAGUACCAUGAGGGAAAGAUGCAAAGCCGCGCGGAAGCGCUGUCAAAGAGUACCUGAAAUUGCUGGAAAGGAAGCAAAGGGAACCAGUGUUAACCAAACUGCAAUUCUCCAUGUACUUGUAUAUGGGGCGCUGUGGCUGGUGUGUCACCUGUUGGUAGUGGUUGCAGAAUAUUUUGAUGCGAUCUGCUGCUGGCAGUGUGCAAAAUGGUUCUCUUUUUCCCG